CACGUAGGCGGAUAUUUAAGUUAGAGGUGAAAUCCCAGGGCUCAACCCUGGAACUGCCUUUAAUACUGGGUAUCUCGAGUCCGAGAGAGGUGAGUGGAAUUCCGAGUGUAGAGGUGAAAUUCGUAGAUAUUCGGAGGAACACCAGUGGCGAAGGCGGCUCACUGGCUCGGUACUGACGCUGAGGUGCGAAAGCGUGGGGAGCAAACA
This 207-nucleotide ribosomal RNA is filed under the name uncultured bacterium. RNAcentral's name for it is "partial 16S ribosomal RNA". It matches the Rfam family "Bacterial small subunit ribosomal RNA", at positions 568 to 774 of the family's 1533-position model. The record is from RNAcentral.